GUGUCAGCCGCCGCGGUAAUACGUAGGGGGCAAGCGUUGUCCGGAAUUAUUGGGCGUAAAGCGCGCGCAGGCGGUCUUUUAAGUCUGGGGUUUAAACGGAGGGCUCAACCCUUCGUCGCCUCGGAAACUGGGGGACUGGAGUGCAGGAGAGGGAAGCGGAAUUCCACGUGUAGCGGUGAAAUGCGUAGAGAUGUGGAGGAACACCAGUGGCGAAGGCGGCUUCCUGGCCUGUAACUGACGCUGAGGCGCGAAAGCGUGGGGAGCAAACAGGAUUAGAUACCCUGGUAGUCCACGCCGUAAACGAUGAGUGCUAGGUGUCGGGGGUUUCAAUACCCUCGGUGCCGAAGUCAACACAGUAAGCACUCCGCCUGGGGAGUACGCUCGCAAGAGUGAA
Molecule: ribosomal RNA, 394 nt
Filed under: uncultured bacterium
Lineage: Bacteria
Description: bacterial SSU rRNA
Rfam family: Bacterial small subunit ribosomal RNA
Source: RNAcentral